Molecule: ribosomal RNA, 301 nt
Filed under: uncultured bacterium
Lineage: Bacteria
Description: partial 16S ribosomal RNA
Rfam family: Bacterial small subunit ribosomal RNA
Source: RNAcentral
CAGUCGCCGCGGUAAUACAGAGGGUGCAAGCGUUAAUCGGAGUUACUGGGCGUAAAGGGCGCGUAGGCGGUUAUAUAAGUGAGAUGUGAAAUCCCUGGGCUUAACCUAGGAACUGCAUCUUAUACUGUAUGGCUAGAGUAUUGUAGAGGGUAGUGGAAUUUCCGGUGUAGCGGUGAAAUUCGUAGAUAUUAGGAAGAACACCAGUGGCGAAGGCGACUUUCUGGCUCGUAACUGACGCUGAGGCGCGAAAGCGUGGGGAGCAAACAGGAUUAGAGACCCCCGUAGUCCCUGUCUCUUAUAC